Podarcis lilfordi (Lilford's wall lizard) is the source of this 7020-nucleotide non-coding RNA. Lineage: Eukaryota; Metazoa; Chordata; Lepidosauria; Squamata; Lacertidae. The record is from the annotation of a GenBank genome assembly.
CAAAGGCCCCGCCAGGAUCCCCUCAUGAAAAUGGGAGGCUAGUUGGGAGGUGGGGGGGAGAAGAGAUGACAGACUGGGCCAGACCUGCGUCACACAAAUGGACUGGUAAUUAACACAUUUUUCCCCCUUCCCCACACUUGUCUCUCUCCAGCCUCUGCCCACCCAACGGGGCUUUUUCGGAAACAUUAAAACCCAACUAAUAAAUGGCUUACAGCUGCUGAAAGAUGAGCCCUGUCUGGCUGAGACUCCGGCGGUCACCUGCUUCCCACCCCCCACCCCUCGCCGACACCCUCCAUUGAUCUUCCAAGGGGUCCUGCCUGAACUUUUUCCUAGACGGAGACCAGCAUUUCAACAUGGCACAGAAAUCCACAAAUGGCCCAGAUUCCAGGCAGGCACACCACGGCCCAGAGCCCAGACAGCACAGCCGCCGGGCUUAGCAACAGGGCAACCAAACUCCGGCCACAGCUUCGCUAAUAGCUCACCUGCUUUCUGUGAGCCAUAUUUCACCUGGGCUGUUUGCAUGGCACCUGGUACCCUGGAUAAGGUCACUCAUUUAGCAGCAUGUCAAAAACUGAUCUGUUGACCUAGUUCAUGCCUAGGGGGAAGGCAGUUGAGGGAGAGAGGCUGCAGAAGGGGCCAAGCGCUUGUAAGGCUGUAGCAGACCUCCCAAGUGCCCCUAUUUUCCAGGGACAGUCCAAGAUUUACAGAAGCCAUCCUGGUUUCUGAUUGGAUCCUGGAAUGUUUUCCUUAAAGAUAAAGGGACCCCUGACCAUUAGGUCCAGUCGUGGCCGACUCUGGGGUUGCAGCGCUCAUCUCGCUUUAUUGGCCGAGGGAGCCGGCGCACAGCUUCCGGGUCACGUGGCCAGCAUGACUAAGCCGCUUCUGGCGAACCAGAGCAGCACACGGAAACGCCGAGAAAGGGAGAAAAGCUUAUCUCCAUGCCACGCAUAAUUUCAUAAACGUCCACCAUGUCUCCUGUCGCUCGCCUUUUCCCUAAACGAAGAGGUCCCAGAUGCUGCAAUCCUCCUUCAUAGAGGAAUUGCUCUGUCCUCUUGACUGGGAUAGCUCAGUCAGCAGAGUCUGAGACUCUUAAUCUCACUGUUGUGGGUUCGAGAGAGCCCCACGUUGGGCAAAAGAUUCCUGCAUUGCAGAGGGUUGAACUAGAUGGCCCUCAAGGUGCCUUCAAACUCUUCAGUUCUAUGAUUUUGAUUGCCCUUGGUUGUUGUGCUCAAGUCUUGCUUCCCAUGUAGGCAUCUGAUUGGCCACUGUGAGUACAGGAUGCUGGGCCAGAUGCUUCAUUAGAGUCCUUCUGAUGCAGCUCAGGGUCCUCCUUACAUUCUUAACGUGGAUUUCGAGGCAACUCUUCUCCAUGACUUUAUGACCUUGAACCCUUCCUCCAUUCAUCAACUCAGAAGACGUAUGGAUGUUAACACAUUCCAUGUUUGUCUGAGGAAGACCCAGCAGGAGCAAAGCCAGCGAUCUGGUUUCCUUCUCCUCUUGCUGAGCUCCGUGCUCAAACGGCCCAUUUCUUGUGGGGAGGAGGAGGGGACACUCUGAUUCAGAGGCUUCCUUUUUCCAACAGGUUCUGCAUCUCUCUGUGUGUUUGUAACAUCAGCAGCCGCCCAGCCAAGCUUGUGGCAUUUGCCGAUGGGGAAAACAGGCUGAGAUCGGGAUGUUGUGCGUUGACGCCAUGGGGCUGCGCAUUGCAGAUUGUUCCACCUGGCGAGGCGAGCGGCUGAACGGGACUUCAACUCUCAAUGACCUCCUGGGAGCACAAGCAGAUCCAAAGCCACCCCCUUUCUCCCUUGUUGUAAUGCAAAGUGGGGAGUGAUAUUCCUUCAUUUGUUGCAGGCCUGUAUAAAUUGCCGCUUUCCUCGCCAGAUCUACAUGCAGGACCACCGGGCGGGGGGGGAGGAAUAUAGAUGCUUUCUAGAGGCUUUUGAAAAGCAGAGAUGGCAUUAAGUGGAGGGCUCCCCCCUCCCAUGCCCAAGCUGCCUAAGGGAUAUACAGACCCAGCUCCCAUUAAAAUUAAUAGUCCAGAUCUUCCCCUUAAUGUUCUAAAAGGUUUUCCUCCUUUCAACUGGUCUUGAGCGAGAACAUUAUAGCAGAUAAAUAGAAACUCUUUCCUCCGCUUCGGAAGAGGUAAAAUUCAGCUCCUAUUAAAAUCAAAAGAGCAACCCGCAAUUUGGGGACUGUGAGCUUAGAACAAAGGCACACGGCAAUUUCAACCCUGAUUUCGCACAUAGCCCAGGCAAACCAAAAAAACACAAAAGCAACACAAAUGUGUACACCAACCUCUGCCAAGCUGGCUGGGACUGAUGGAAAUUGUAGUCCAUAACUUCUGGAGGGCACUAGGUUGAUGAAGGCUGAAACAACCUUUGCUCAUAUUUUUAUCUUAGCUCUUUCGCUUCUACAUAUGCACAGAUGGGGUGAUCAGAUAUUGGUGGUUGGACUGUAAGCAAAGGCAUUAAAACAGAGUGGCUGCCAGAUGUCCACAGCUGCCAAAUGUAACUACUAGGGAUGUAAGAAGGCACAUUUCCCCACUCCAGCCAGUACUCUUUGCAUGCAGCACUGUUUGCAUUCCACUGCAGGCCAACUUCCACCAAAAAUGAAAUUUUUGCUGGGGCAAAAUUAUGUAACUUGCGUAAGUGACAUAAAUCACUUUGUUGCUGCAUUGUUGCACCCUGUUCAUGUCUGUGCAAAGGAAAUGCAGUGCAAAUGAGGGGUGGAUGUAAUAAAGCAUGUAUGGCUUGCAGGCUGAAAGCAGCAACAGUAGCGAAUGCGGAUUGCAUUCCCCGGAUUGAUUUCCAACACCACCCAAUUACCACUCCCCUUUCCAAUUUUGUCAGCAUUCUCCAACAUCCCUGACAAACACAUAUUGCAGACUGAAGGAGACUCAAAUAAUGUCCCUCUUCCUUGUCUUCGAAGAUAGAUGGUUCCAGGGAUGCAGCCACCAACGCCAUUCCGAUCAGUUUUCUUGAUGAUAAGAUUAACCUUAUGGAUGAUGGCACAGGGUGGGGGUGGGGACCUUUAGAAGAGAGAAUUGCACAGAAAGCCCUCCUGCCAUUUCUUUUCACAGGGCAAUCCAUCACCAAGAGCCCUUCCCAUGCUGCCUCUGCUCAGAGCUCUGGCUGGAACAAAACUUCCUUUCUCUCUGUGCCACCUGCACAAACGGGGUCCUGACCCAACCAAGCUGGAACUCUUCCUCGUCAUGUCAUCGCCGGCCUCUGCAUUUUUACAGUGCGCAGUUGGUUGCCUGAAAUCUGGCUGCUUUCUUGGCAUCGGGGCAAGAAGUCUGCAUAGUUCAGCAUCACAUUCUCUGCAUGCGUGGACCCCAAACGCACAAAACGGCUCGUGGGAGUCAAAAGCUGAGAUGGGAGCUCUCUCUACAGUUGAUGGACAAACCCCACAGGUCUGGCUAUGCCUGCAAAACAAACUUGGUAGGGGCGCAUGUCAUGGAGAAGGUGAAUAGAUUUAGGAAAGAUUUUCUCCCUCUCUAGAAGUCAUGGGCAUCCAGUGAAGCCGAAUGUUGGAAGAUGCAGGGCAGACAGAAAAGGAAAGGAACUCACUUUCACAAGAGGCAGUGAUGGCUAUCAACUGGAAUGGCUUUUACAGAGGGUAAGGCAAAUCAUGGAGGAUAAGAUUAUGGAUGGCUAUGUUUUGCCUCCGCAGUUGGAGGUACAGUGGUACCUCUAGUUACGGACUCGAUCUGUUCCGGGGUGCCGUUCCCACCCUGAAAAGUCCGCAACUAGAGCACCGUUUCUGCGCAUGUGUGCAGCACAAUAGAGUGCUUCUGCACAUGCACGAGGUGCACAGAGCACUUUUGCGCAUGCAUGAGACAUGCAGGGCGCUUCUGCACAUGCGCGCACAGUGAAAUCCAGAAAUAUACACUACCGGGUUUGCUGCGUUCAUAUCCUGAAAAAACGCAACCAGAGACGGACGUAACAAGAGGUACGACUGUACUAAUACUUCUGAAUACCUGUAAGUGAAGUCAGUAGUGUGAGGAGGGCUCUUGUGCUCAGGGGCCCUGCUUUUGAGGGAUCUGAGUGGCCACUGUGAGAACAGGAUGCUGGACUUAAUGGGCCACUGACCUGAUCCAGAAAGCUUCUUCUUAUGCUCUUAAUAAGGAUGAGUGCUCAGUUCAACUGGAAGCCACACUAUAUUCCAACAUUAAACAGUUUCCUGAGAAAGAGGAGUGCAGUAACAGAAAAGCCCAUCUUUGUGGUGGCAAAGUUUGAGGAGUGCAUUUCUGGCAUUAAGGACUUUCUGGAAGCCUCUUUGAAAUCAGCUACUUGGCAUGAUUUGCCUCUCUUCCUCUCAACAGCAUCUCAUCACGUACUGCCUGAGGAUAUAUAAACCGUUCACCCAUAGCUUUAAAAGCUGACAUCUUCCUGUACUGCACAUUCAGGGAGCCUGUGAAUUUCAAGCUGGGCUGUGGAGGAAUGAUUUGGCUCAGAAAAUGGAAUUAAAGAUGGAUUAUGUGAGGGGGAGAAAUGAGCAGGCAAGUUACUGCCUCGCUUUUUCCCUGGAGUAGGUUUUGCCUCACCAUACUGACAUUUAAAGCACUCUUAUACUGCUUCAACAGACAUGGUAUUCCCCACAGCAUCCUAGGAAAUGCAGUUCGUUCAGGGUGCUAUGCAAUAUUAUGAGACCCCAUUCCUCUCCACCCCACCCCCCAAGCUACAAUGCUUAAAAUUCCCUGGGAAGAGGGAUGGAUGGUUAAACCACUCUGAGAAUCGUAGCUCCAUGAGGAGAAUAGGGGUCUCUGCACGAACUACAUUUCCCAGAAUGCUUUGGAGGGGGACCAUGACUGUUUAAAGUGGUAUCAUACUACUCUCUAACAUGCUGCACAGGAAAAUUGAGACACAUGUAUUUUGGGGCCAGGAACCAACACAGGACAUCCUGGGAUUCAGGAUGGCUUCUGUAAUUCCGGGAUGUCCCACUUAAAACGGGACAGUUGAGAGGUAUGUGUCAUAGUGCUUUAAAGGUAUUAUGUGAAUGUAGCUUAGGACUGCAGCCUAGGAGGACUUAUGGAAGUGCUGGUCCUGAUCUGAGUACCUCUUUUAACACUGUGCCCCCCCCCUGCUUUUGCAGUAGUAAAAAGGUAAAGGUACCCCUGCCCGUACGGGCCAGUCUUGACAGACUCUAGGGUUGUGCGCUCAUCUCACUCUAGAGGCUGGGAGCCAGCGCUGUCCACAGACACUUCCGGGUCACGUGGCCAGCGUGGCGAAGCUGCUCUGGCGAACCGGCACCAGAGCAGCACACGGAACGCCAUUUACCUUCCCACUAUAAAGCGGUACCUAUUUAUCUACUUGCACUUAAGGGUGCUUUCGAACUGCUAGGUUGGCAGGAGCAGGGAUCGAGCAACGGGAGCUCACCCCGCCGCGGGGAUUCGAACCGCCAACCAUGCGAUCGGCAAGUCCUAGGCGCUGAGGUUUUACCCACAGCGACACCCGCGUCCCUUUUUGCAGUAGUAGUGUGGAGCAAAAGAGCCUUACUUAUAAGUUUAAGGUGACUAUGUGUGCCCCAUCCGUACCAUACAUCCAACAACUCACCAUAGGCAUAGACAUUCAAAGAAUGACCUGCCGUCUCUUAUCUCUCAUUAGUUUAGCCUGCUGCACCCAAUCACAACCGACCCAUUGCUUUGAACAGUAAAGAUUGUCCCCUGUGGGUGAAAACGUGGCAGGGGGGUUGCUGGGGGGCAAUGCUGACUGGGAAAAUGCCAAGAAGGGAAAUCUUGACGUGUCCCCAUCCUCAGUGCUGCUUCUAUGCUCGUGAACUCACCUGCCAAGGCUGCUUAUUUGCAUCCCAGUGCCGCAUCUGCUAACCACAGUCCUGCCUCCCACAUUUCUAAACCACAGAGCCUAGGGCUUGCAAUUCGAAUCCCCGCAACGGGGUGAGCUCCCGUUGCUCCCUGCUCCUGCCAACCUAGCAGUUUGAAACACUUCAAAGUGCAAGUAGAUAAAUAGGUACCACUCCAGCGGGAAGGUAAACGGCGUUUCCAUGCGCUACUCUGGUUCGCCAGAAGCAGCUUAGUCAUGCUGGCCACAUGACCCGGAAGCUGUGCACCGGCUCCCUUGGCCAAUAAAGCAAAACGAGCGCCGCAACCCCAGAGUUGUCCAUGACUGGACCUAACAGUCAGGUGUCCCUUUACCUUUUUAUUCCAUAUCCUCUAGCGAAAAUAGAAACGUCCUAAGGAAUGAAGACCAUCCCAGAAUCAAAUCAGAAAUUGGGAUGGCUUCUGCAGAUCCAGGACUGUCUACCUGGAACACACGAGUAGUUGAAGGGUCUGUAAUGCUGUAUUUUGCAUAAUUUUGUAUCACACACACACGAAAAAAGGUUAGACCUCCCAUUAAUUUCCACCUCCAACCUCCGUCUCACCCUCCUCUCUUCCAUCAUCCAGCAUCGGGUUCUGAGCAGCUGUUUCCGAGCGGCACAGAUUGUGCUUGAAGUGAUACGUCAAAACACCAUUAGCAAGGCCUGCCUGCUCUUCUCAGCCUCCCUGCUCUCCCAGCCAGGACAGUCUGGCGCUGAGACACCCGGCCUGGUGCUUUGAAGAGCCCAGUUUGUGCUGCACUCAGACAGCUGGGCCUUGCCAGAAACUGCCCUGCCCUCCCUCCCGAACCUUGGGGCUAAACUGGCGUUUUAAAAUAGAGCUCUGCUCAAUGACGGGGGUGACAACUGUGCAAUUAUUUCCAACACUUGUUUACCGACUUGCUUGGGAAGUUGAACUUCCAUCUGGUGCAAGCAAAUGCAGUGGAGCGUUGACACGGCUGGCAAGAAGAAACUAUCUGAAGAACUAUCUGAAGAACUAUCUGAAGAAGUGUGCACGCACACGAACGCUUAUACCUAAAACUACUCAGUUGGUCUCUAAGGGGCUACUUUUUUAUUUUGCAAUUCUUCUGGGGGGAUUCUUUUAAAGACUGUCUUAGAUUAUAUAACUUUUUUGAAGUCUUGAUUUUUUAAGGGAGUUUUUAUCUUAUUAAGAAGAGCCUUUUAAACUAUCUUUUUAAAGAAUUG